Molecule: ribosomal RNA, 402 nt
Filed under: uncultured bacterium
Lineage: Bacteria
Description: bacterial SSU rRNA
Rfam family: Bacterial small subunit ribosomal RNA
Source: RNAcentral
UGGGGAAUAUUGCGCAAUGGACGAAAGUCUGACGCAGCGACGCCGCGUGUGGGAUGACGCCUUUCGGGGUGUAAACCACUGUUGCCCGGGACGAAAUGCCCUUUCGAGGGAAUUGACGGUACCGGGUGAGGAAGCACCGGCUAACUCUGUGCCAGCAGCCGCGGUAAUACAGAGGGUGCGAGCGUUGUCCGGAAUCACUGGGCGUAAAGGGCGCGUAGGUGGCUGGGUAAGCGUGUGGUGAAAGUCCGGGGCUCAACCCCGGAUCUGCCGUGCGAACUGCUUGGCUUGAGCACUGUAGAGGCAGGUGGAAUUUCGGGUGUAGCGGUGGAAUGCGUAGAUAUCCGAAAGAACACCGAGUGGCGAAGGCGGCCUGCUGGGGCAGUUGCUGACACUGAGGCGCGA